GUUUCAAUUCAUCAAUUUCUCAAAUUACCAUUAUCGUUAUCGGGGGGUCUACGCUUACCUGAUACACAAGUAAACCAUUCUAUGUUGCCAGAAAAUUGCCAACGACUUUUUUCAGGGAUAGGAGUUAAGGAAAAUGAUCAAAAUAUGCGGGAAUACUCCUUUUCCGAAUUAGAUUUUCUCAUGACUGAUGCUGUGCCAGAUAUCGAGGAAAUAAACCCAACACUGACGAUUGAUUACAUUGAUUAAACCUUGGUACAUUGAUUACAUUGAUGAAACCUUGAUGGGAUAUUUUGUGAGUACAACUGAAGCUGAUUUACUCAAAGACGAUGCUAUGCAAGCAGAAAACUAUUAUUUAGAACCAACGACGGAAAGAGACUUGCAGGACCUAAACCAAUACAUGUGGACGAUUUUAAAACUGGAGUAUUGGCAAACAACGAUUCAGGGAUUCUCUGUUAUUCCGCAAUCAUAACUUCGGUGGACUUGAAAAGUGAAUUUCAUAAUUUUCAUGCUGGAGAAGUAAACUGCAAUCAUCUAACAUAUUGUAAAGGUAAGCUGAACUACAUACAGUUGCGAAAUAAAGGAUUCAAUCAACAGCUAUUAUACCAACCGGGCUCGCUGAGAUAAACUCAGUUUUGCAUUAAUUGCUUAACUAUGUAAUUCAAUCGAAACGUUUACGGAACAACGACCAAUAAUGCGAAGGACUGACAUUUUCGAAGAGGAAUAAAAGUAUCUGAGAGGAUAUAUACAAAUAAAUAUAAAUAUUUGUAGCGAUGGACUCACAAUCGAAGCUUCAAUUUACGAGAGAACAGACCGCUAUUCUGAAGUAUUGCUUCCAAAAUGGAAAUUGCACAACUUCUUUUUAAAUAUUUAAACUGAGUGAAAAGUGCCCCCGCAACAAGUUGAGAUCUGGCUAAAGGACAGACAAUCGAAUGCUGCUAAUCAACAACAACCCGGAAAGAAAAAGGCAAUAGAUUUGGUAAAAGUAGAAAUUUUAGAAAGAAUUUUCAAUGUACUCGCCUAUUUGAAUGCAGCACAACGCAUGGAAAUUGCGACACAAUCAAGUCCAACAAGGAUUACUACCGGGUUCAAUAAGGAAGCCCUCUAUGCCCAUCCAUGCCUCUACCGGGAAACGAAGUUGAUCAUACAAUGCAAGCCGACUUAACACUGGGGAUAAAUGUUGAAGAAUGCCUCCAGCGGAAAACGAAGAUAAUCAUCAGCCUUAUUCCUCAAAUGAAAUAGUGGUUGGGGAAAACGAGGUUCUCCCACUUCUAUCCAUGUCUACACUUGAAAACGGAGCUGAUCAAAUUCAAAUGAAAAUCCUGAAUAUCAGGCAACAAACCGGAGCCUCCCUACGUCAAUGUUCUAUAAACGACAAGCUUCACCCAUUUGCGUACUGAAGGUCCUUCUACUGAGACCAAAACCGGAACCAAUCAAUUCCUCCGAUUAGUGGCCCUGCAGCAUUCAUAAAACCCGAGCCCUUGGAAAAAGAUUCUUCUCAGAAUCGAAUUCAUAGCUCCACAAAUGCAACAAUGAGAUUCCAGGCUAGAGAAACGUUACCUCUACUAUACCUUAUGGACCCAAGUUCGCUAGCUAUGCCUCUACUAAGAAAUGAAGCUGGGGGAGCUCAAUUAAAAAUUAGAGACAUCACGUAGAUGACUAGACUACCUGUAAGUGAGUUUAUACAGAACAAGAAUUCGAGUGAUAAUAUUCAAAUUAGUUCUUCAGCUGA
Molecule: long non-coding RNA, 1729 nt
Organism: Hermetia illucens (black soldier fly)
Lineage: Eukaryota; Metazoa; Arthropoda; Insecta; Diptera; Stratiomyidae
Exons: 3
Source: RefSeq, a predicted model, not a curated record